AGCCCUACGUGGGGGUCGAACCCACAACCUUCAGAUUAGAAGUCUGACGCGCUACCAUUGCGCCAGCAGGGC
Molecule: transfer RNA, 72 nt
Filed under: Aspergillus udagawae
Lineage: Eukaryota; Fungi; Ascomycota; Eurotiomycetes; Eurotiales; Aspergillaceae
Description: tRNA-Arg
Source: RNAcentral